CAAAGUGUAGCUUAAACUAAAGCACCCGGUUUACACCCAGGAGAUUUCAUAGAAAUUGACCGCUUUGAA
RNAcentral lists this transfer RNA (69 nucleotides) under Taphozous nudiventris (naked-rumped tomb bat). RNAcentral describes it as "tRNA-Val". It matches the Rfam family "tRNA". Rfam says of the family: Transfer RNA (tRNA) molecules are approximately 80 nucleotides in length. Their secondary structure includes four short double-helical elements and three loops (D, anti-codon, and T loops). The record is from RNAcentral. Lineage: Eukaryota; Metazoa; Chordata; Mammalia; Chiroptera; Emballonuridae.